GCCUACGGGAGGCAGCAGUAGGGAAUCUUCCACAAUGGACGAAAGUCUGAUGGAGCAACGCCGCGUGAGUGAAGAAGGGUUUCGGCUCGUAAAGCUCUGUUGUUGGAGAAGAACGUGCGUGAGAGUAACUGUUCACGCAGUGACGGUAUCCAACCAGAAAGUCACGGCUAACUACGUGCCAGCAGCCGCGGUAAUACGUAGGUGGCAAGCGUUAUCCGGAUUUAUUGGGCGUAAAGCGAGCGCAGGCGGUUGCUUAGGUCUGAUGUUGAAGCCUUCGGCUUUACCGAAGAAG
Molecule: ribosomal RNA, 292 nt
Filed under: uncultured bacterium
Lineage: Bacteria
Description: partial 16S ribosomal RNA
Rfam family: Bacterial small subunit ribosomal RNA
Source: RNAcentral